Molecule: small RNA, 1489 nt
Filed under: Arabidopsis thaliana (thale cress)
Lineage: Eukaryota; Viridiplantae; Streptophyta; Magnoliopsida; Brassicales; Brassicaceae
Description: ATSL011750
Source: RNAcentral
UAUUAUAAAACAAUAAUAAAUAAUUAUAAUUAUUAAUAAUUAUUAAUUCAUUAUCAUCAAACUUAGAAUAUUUACGGAUUCUAAUUUUUAUAGGUUUAUGUUUUCGGCGGGAAAAUUAUGGGUUUACGUUUUUGGCGGGAAAAUCACGGGUUUACGUUUUUGACGGGAAAAUUACAGGUUUAUGUUUUUGGCGGGAAAAUCACGGGUUUACGUUUUUGGCGGGAAAAUUACCGGGCUUACGUUUUUGGCGGGAAAAUCACGGGUUUACGUUUUUGGCGGGAAAAUUACAGGUUUACGUUUUGGCGGGAAAAUCACGGGUUUACGUUUUUGGCGGGAAAAUUACAGGUUUACGUUUUGGCGGGAAAAUCACGGGUUUACGUUUUUUUGCGGAAAAAUUACGGGUUUACGUUUCUGCAGAAAAAUCACGGGUUUACGUUUUUGGCGGGAAAAUUACCGGGCUUACGUUUUUGGCGGGAAAAUCACGGGUUUACGUUUUUGGCGGGAAAAUUACAGGUUUAUGUUUUGGCGGGAAAAUCACGGGUUUACGUUUUUUUGCGGAAAAAUUACGGGUUUACGUUUCUGCAGAAAAAUCACGGGUUUACUUUUUUGGCGGGAAAAUUACAGGUUUACGUUUUGGCGGGAAAAUCAUGGGUUUAUGUUUUUGGCGGGAAAAUCACGGGUUUACGUUUUUGGCGGGAAAAUUACAGAUUUACGUUUUUGGCGAGAAAAUCACGGGUUUACGUUUUUUUGGCCGGAAAAUUACGUGUUUACGUUUCUGCGAGAAAAUCACGGGUUUACGUUUUUUGGUGGGAAAAUUACGGAUUUACGUUUUGGCGGAAAAAUCAUGGGUUUAUGUUUUUUGCGGGAAAAUUACGGGUUUACGUUUUUGGCGGAAAAAUUACGGGUUUACGUUUUUGGCGGGAAUAUCACGGGUUUACGUUUUUGGCGGAAAAAUCAUGGGUUUACGUUUUUGGCGGGAAAAUUACGGGUUUAUGUUUUUUGGUGGAAAAAUUACGAGUAUACUUUUUCUCAAUUUCAUCGCUUGUAUAUUUAAGAAAUUUGGAAAAAAAUGAUUUUAUUAAAUUGGUUUAGAUGUGUUGGUUAAACUUAGAUUGACAUUGGUUUAAAGAUUUUAGUUGGUUUAAUUCAAUUUAUAAAACUUGAUGGGUUAAUUGGGUAAACCAUUAACCAUUAUAACCCAACUCAUUUUACUCAUUAAACCAAUUGACUUAAUAACUCAUUUGACCCAUAAACUCAUUGGAGUCAAAAUUUUCAACUCAUUAGGGUUAUGGGUUGAGUUGAGUUGAGUUGAUCCAUGAAUUUUGAGCUAUUUUGACAACCAUGAGUUGAUGCUAUCAUUUUGCAUUCUCCGUUUCAAAUGAAACGACAAUAGCAAACUGAAUUCGAUACUACAACAUUAUUUUCGUGAUGCAAUGUUAAAGAAUUUAGAUGAAUACACUUGUGAAGAUGACAUUUUCAGUUUGAAGUA